Pseudomonadales bacterium is the source of this 72-nucleotide non-coding RNA. Lineage: Bacteria; Pseudomonadati; Pseudomonadota; Gammaproteobacteria; Pseudomonadales. The record is from Rfam.
CGUCAGCGACCCAACCGCCUGCCCGAUUCCCGGCCAUGGCCCCAAUCCAAUUGUCGCCGGCUCCCCCGACGU